CAUCGUAAUUAAAAAACUCUCCUUCUUGCCCUCCAGCUGCUGCAGUGGCAUGGCUCCCAGUAGCUCUGCCAUCCAAUUCCAUGUCGAUCUUUGAUGGUGCGUCUAAAAAUCUCGUUGAGAACCACCAACAAGACCGUAUGCAACUCAAGAUGAUAUGUCACAUCCUAGAAGUGAUGGUAUACUCGCCCUACAGUAGGUGAAACUUGUCGAAACAAAAAUCUCUUAGCCUUACUGCAUACUCAAAUCCUGCCUCCCUGAUGUUCGACAGCAUAAUAUAUAGAGAAGGUAUGAUAUGGGAAUAUCUGUCUAGAAUGAAGCACCAUCGACUGCAAACAUAUGAAAUAAUUAAUAUAUUAAUAUAUAAUAGGAGAGUAGUAGAUGGUUAGUUGAUUGACAAGUGGUGGUGCUUUGUAUAAUAGACAAGUGUUACUCUCUAUUACAUGAUAAGUGGCAAAUCAACAAAAUUAAUAUUAAUAAAAUAAUAAAAAUAAAAAAUCCAAUGAUCAAUGAACAAAAUAAUUGGAGGGAUUCUGAUUCAAAUUGAAAUUCAAAAUUUUUUUGUUACCGCUGUCCUCAUAUAUAUAUUAGUUAAACGGUGAAGAAAGAAAAGAAGGAAAUAAAGAAACCGAUAGUUACAGAAAAGAGGGUGGCGACGAACAAUAAAAACGACAGUCGAAGAAAGAAAAGACGACAGAAGAAGAAGAAAAUGAUGGUGAAGAAAGACGGUCGACGUAGCAGAGAAGAAGAAAAUGACGGUGAAGAAGAUACGGACGACGGAAGAAGAAGAGGGUGGCGACGACAGAGACGGUCACAGAGAAGGAAGCUAAAUCGAAGAGAAAAGAAGAGGAAUGAGGUGACGCGGUGAUGGAGUCCACCGUCGUUGUUGGAUCCGCAGAGCUGCAUCCUCCGCAGGACGGUGUCACAGCCGUUUCUUCGCCGGUGGGCGCUACGAAUGAAGGAUGAAUGGCGUGCUACACUUAAAGAAGAGAAUGGUGAAGGAGCAGCUAGCAGUAAGUUGACGACACCGGUAAAGAGAACGGUGAGCUUUGAUAUCCUAUCUUGGGCGGUAUUACAGAGUGAAUAUGGUUGUGAAUGAACUAGACAAGACCUUUAUCCAUCAAAGAAGAAGCCACUUUCUGAAGGUGAGUAGAGGUUCUCUUUGUGCUUCUCAUAGAUCGAUAUGAAAAAGUGAGGCUCACAAAGUGGUACGCCCCAUGCUCUCGAAAAGAAAGAUCCAAGGUAUAUGGCCGUGUGAUUAAAUUCAAAGUUUCACAUUUUUAAUUCAUUAUUAUAUAUUUUAUAUUUUAUAGAAGAGGAUCAGAUUUCUUUUGUUAAUUCAAAUUAUUUGAUCUUGAGCUAUUCAUCAUUUGGGCAAAAGGUUUUAAAUUGGAGUAGGAGGUUGUAAUUGUGGUUGUUGCGAUAAAAAUUUGUUAAAUUGAUUUGAUGAAAUCCAUUACAAGCUAUUGCAAACCACAAUUGCAAUAUGAUACAAUGUAGUAGAGACUCCUUGAAAUAUAGAAUUAGUAGAGUGUAGAAGAAAGAAACCCGAUCUAUUAUAUAAUGUGAUCCUCUAAUUUGUUUAAAUAAAAAGUUACA
Long non-coding RNA from Arachis duranensis, 1596 nucleotides. RefSeq lists it as uncharacterized. Lineage: Eukaryota; Viridiplantae; Streptophyta; Magnoliopsida; Fabales; Fabaceae. The record is from RefSeq and is a predicted model, not a curated record. The transcript has 4 exons.